AUGGAUUUGGAUCUGUGGAUCUCCAAGGUCAAGGAGGGCCAGCACCUCGCCGAGCACGAGCUCCAGACCCUCUGCGAAUACGUUAAGGAGAUUCUCAUCGAGGAGUCGAACGUGCAGCCAGUCAACAGCCCGGUCACAGUGUGCGGCGACAUCCAUGGGCAGUUCCAUGACCUUAUGAAGCUCUUUGCCACCGGAGGACAUGUGCCUGAGACCAACUAUAUUUUCAUGGGUGAUUUUGUCGACCGCGGCUUCAACAGUCUCGAGGUUUUCACCAUCCUUUUGCUACUAAAAGCAAGGUAUCCUGCCCACAUAACCCUUCUGCGUGGGAACCAUGAAAGUAGGCAGCUGACACAGGUAUAUGGCUUCUAUGACGAGUGCCAGAGGAAGUAUGGGAAUGCCAAUGCGUGGCGGUAUUGCACCGAUGUUUUUGAUUACCUUACUCUUUCAGCAAUCAUUAAUGGCACGGUCCUUUGUGUUCACGGUGGCCUGUCUCCUGAUGUACGUACUGUUGACCAGAUACGGACAAUUGAUCGGAAUUGUGAAAUUCCCCACGAAGGUCCUUUCUGUGAUCUUAUGUGGAGUGACCCUGAAGAGAUAGAGACAUGGGCUGUUAGUCCGCGUGGAGCAGGUUGGCUUUUUGGAUCACGAGUGACAACAGAGUUCAACCAUGUGAACAAUCUUGACCUAGUUUGCCGGGCUCACCAGCUGGUCCAGGAAGGCUUAAAGUACAUGUUUCAGGACAAGGGUCUUGUAACUGUGUGGUCUGCACCUAAUUAUUGCUACAGAUGUGGCAAUGUUGCUUCUAUACUAAGCUUCGACGAGAACAUGGACCGCGACGUCAAGUUCUUCACGGAGACGGAGGAGAACAACCAGAUGCGUGGCCCAAGGACUGCCGUCCCGUAUUUUCUCUGA
RNAcentral lists this ribosomal RNA (912 nucleotides) under Triticum aestivum (bread wheat). RNAcentral describes it as "partial small subunit ribosomal RNA". The record is from RNAcentral. Lineage: Eukaryota; Viridiplantae; Streptophyta; Magnoliopsida; Poales; Poaceae.